This 433-nucleotide ribosomal RNA is filed under the name uncultured bacterium. RNAcentral describes it as "partial 16S ribosomal RNA". It matches the Rfam family "Bacterial small subunit ribosomal RNA", at positions 29 to 507 of the family's 1533-position model. The record is from RNAcentral.
AACGAACGCUGGCGGCAUGCCUAACACAUGCAAGUCGAACGAGACCUUCGGGUCUAGUGGCGCACGGGUGCGUAACGCGUGGGAACCUGCCCUUAGGUUCGGAAUAACUCCCCGAAAGGGGUGCUAAUACCGGAUAAUUUCUUCGGACCAAAGAUUUAUCGCCUUUGGAUGGGCCCGCGUUGGAUUAGCUAGUUGGUAGGGUAAAAGCCUACCAAGGCGACGAUCCAUAGCUGGUCUGAGAGGAUGAUCAGCCACACUGGGACUGAGACACGGCCCAGACUCCUACGGGAGGCAGCAGUGGGGAAUAUUGGACAAUGGGGGAAAGCCUGAUCCAGCAAGGCCGCGUGAGUGAUGAAGGCCUUAGGGUUGUAAAGCUCUUUUACCCGGGAUGAUAAUGACAGUACCGGGAGAAUAAGCACCGGCUAACUCCGUG